This 1466-nucleotide long non-coding RNA is filed under the name Ricinus communis (castor bean). Its description in RNAcentral is "long non-coding RNA (RCOM_LNC002136)". Lineage: Eukaryota; Viridiplantae; Streptophyta; Magnoliopsida; Malpighiales; Euphorbiaceae. The record is from RNAcentral.
CUCAAUGGGGAUGAUGUUGAGAAUUUGAUAAUUUGUUAGAUCAAAGUAUACAAUAGAAUAAACAAAGAAUGUCGAGGCUCACAAUACUACGUUCAGUGUGAUAGAAAGAGUUGUCCGCUAUUAGAAGGGUAAUGUGACAGCCUGGUCUAGAGAAGCGGUCUGACGAGGGCGGGUAGUGAACGCCAGGGUAAAGAAAAGAUAGGAUGCUUGGACAAGGAGCGGCUUUUGGCAGGCUUCUACGAUGGCAACACUUUAAGGUACGGGGGUACAUGAAUGAAUCGAAUUGCACAUUGAAAUGGGAUGGGGAAUAGUUGAUAACAUAUAUGUAAAGAGUUAGAACUAAUCAAAUGAAGCACCUUUUGAUUGUUUGGUCUUGUUGUUGUAGGAACUCCAAAGUUAAACGUGCUUGGUUCAGAGAAAUUUCAGGAUGGGAGACCUCUUAGGAAGUUCUCGAACCCGCCAAAAUGAACAAUAUCUCAUGUGAACUGGUUCUGGAUCGUUACAGGUAACCACAAGUAGGUGGCCUGCGCAGGAAAGACCAUUGCAUAAGGUAAGACUCCAGCAAGGCCCGUGGAACAUGAGUGUCGGGGGGUUGAAGGAUUAAGCUAAGCAGAUUAUUAAGCUGCUCCUCAUAUAGUUUUUCAUUUCAGUCGCUGAAGAACUCCAAUCCCUACUGCUGAAAGGCUAGACAUAAUAAAGGAAUAAGUCCUUGGGGGUCAUGGUCAUCUCCCCACAAGGAAAAUGGAAGGUGUUGGUGGUGUCCCGCCAUCUCUUUCUCAGCAUUAAUAAAAAAAAUGUUAGCAAAUUACUCUAUAAGGAUGUUAGCCAUAUGGUGCAACCCAAUGGGCAUGGCAAGUUGCAUCACAUCUAAAUGCAUGACCAUAUAGUUGUGCGCAAACUCCAGGUGUUUUAAGGCUUCCCUUGUAGCAUAGAGCAGCAUCCUAAGGAAGAAAAGAAAAGCUAAAUUACUUGUGUAAUUAUUUAAAAAAAUAUAACAUAAUGAUAAAUAAUAUAAUAAAUUACUGAUUAUUUUUUUAUAGGAACAGAAAAGAAGACAUAAAAGAAACCUAGAUUAUGAAAGAUUGGGAGAUGUGAGUCUUUAGUUCCUGUAACAGAUUGCUAGGAUCAACAAUCUCUUGUGGCGCUUGGUAGCCAUCCCGACGGAUCUGGGAGGGACCUCAGCUGGAAGCCAUCUUGGAAGCAAGAGAAAGGCAUAUAUGUAAAAUUUCUAGAGAGAGAAAUAAGAAUGAAGAAAUGGUGAGAAAUGAAGAAGCACCCCUACUUAUAGGGAGGGGAGGGGGCUUUGGUCCACUUAAAAGCCAUAAAAUGUGGUUUUGGAUGCAUCCGACCUUAAAGUCACACAUGGGUAAUUUUUCUGAUCUUGUAUGAUUUGUAUCAAUUUUUUAAGUAUUCAUGCACCUCUUAGGAUGUACCUCGUAUGGUGAUUUUACUAAAAAUAAAAACAC